Molecule: ribosomal RNA, 253 nt
Filed under: uncultured bacterium
Lineage: Bacteria
Description: partial 16S ribosomal RNA
Rfam family: Bacterial small subunit ribosomal RNA
Source: RNAcentral
UACGAAGGGGGCGAGCGUUGUUCGGAGUUACUGGGCGUAAAGGGCGCGUAGGCGGCGCUCCAAGUUAGGCGUGAAAGCCCCGGGCUCAACCUGGGAAUAGCGCUUAAGACUGGAGUGCUCGAGUGCGGAAGAGGUGAGUGGAAUUCCCAGUGUAGAGGUGAAAUUCGUAGAUAUUGGGAAGAACACCAGUGGCGAGGGCGGCUCACUGGUCCGCAACUGACGCUGAGGCGCGAAAGCGUGGGGAGCAAACAGG